Molecule: transfer RNA, 74 nt
Filed under: Podarcis lilfordi (Lilford's wall lizard)
Lineage: Eukaryota; Metazoa; Chordata; Lepidosauria; Squamata; Lacertidae
Description: tRNA.Ile
Rfam family: tRNA (bases 4-62)
About the family: Transfer RNA (tRNA) molecules are approximately 80 nucleotides in length. Their secondary structure includes four short double-helical elements and three loops (D, anti-codon, and T loops). Further hydrogen bonds mediate the characteristic L-shaped molecular structure. tRNAs have two regions of fundamental functional importance: the anti-codon, which is responsible for specific mRNA codon recognition, and the 3' end, to which the tRNAs corresponding amino acid is attached (by aminoacyl-tRNA synthetases). tRNAs cope with the degeneracy of the genetic code in two manners: having more than one tRNA (with a specific anti-codon) for a particular amino acid; and 'wobble' base-pairing, i.e. permitting non-standard base-pairing at the 3rd anti-codon position.
Source: RNAcentral
GAAAGCUCAGUCGGUUAGAGCAUGGUGCUGAUAACGCCACGGUUGCAGGUUCGAUCCCCUACGGGACAGCUGCA